CCUACGGGAGGCUGCAGUGAGGAAUAUUGGUCAAUGGCCGAAAGGCUGAACCAGCCAAGUCGCGUGAGGGAAGACGGCCCUACGAGUUGUAAACCGCUUUUGUAGGGGGGCAAAGCGAGUCACGUGUGACUCAUUGAGAGUACCCGAAGAAAAAGCAUCGGCUAACUCCGUGCCAGCAGCCGCGGUAAUACGGAGGAUGCGAGCGUUAUCCGGAUUUAUUGGGUUAAAAGGGUGCGCAGGCGGAGGUGCAAGUCAGCGGUCAAAUUGCGGGGCUCAACCCCGUACUGCCGUUGAAACUGCAUGCCUAGAGAGCGCGAGAAGUAUGCGGAAUGCGUGGUGUAGCGGUGAAAUGCAUAGAUAUCACGCAGAACUCCGAUUGCGAAGGCAGCAUACCGGCGCGCAACUGACGCUCAUGCACGAAAGCGUGGGUAGCGAACAGGAUUAGAUACCCCUGUAGUC
This 459-nucleotide ribosomal RNA is filed under the name uncultured bacterium. Its description in RNAcentral is "partial 16S ribosomal RNA". It matches the Rfam family "Bacterial small subunit ribosomal RNA", at positions 338 to 795 of the family's 1533-position model. The record is from RNAcentral.